This 476-nucleotide ribosomal RNA is filed under the name uncultured organism. Its description in RNAcentral is "partial 16S ribosomal RNA". It matches the Rfam family "Bacterial small subunit ribosomal RNA", at positions 334 to 801 of the family's 1533-position model. The record is from RNAcentral.
CACUCCUGCGGGAGGCAGCAGUGGGGAAUUUUGGACAAUGGGGGCAACCCUGAUCCAGCAAUGCCGCGUGAGUGAAGAAGGCCUUCGGGUUGUAAAGCUCUUUUGUCAGGGAAGAAACGGUGGUGGCGAAUAACUACUACUAAUGACGGUACCUGGAGAAUAAGCACCGGCUAACUACGUGCCAGCAGCCGCGGUAAUACGUAGGGUGCAAGCGUUAAUCGGAAUUACUGGGCGUAAAGCGUGCGCAGGCGGUUGUGUAAGUCAGAUGUGAAAUCCCCGGGCUCAACCUGGGAAUUGCAUUUGAGAGUGCACGGCUAGAGUGUGUCAGAGGGGGGUAGAAUUCCACGUGUAGCAGUGAAAUGCGUAGAUAUGUGGAGGAAUACCGAUGGCGAAGGCAGCCCCCUGGGAUAACACUGACGCUCAUGCACGAAAGCGUGGGGAGCAAACAGGAUUAGAUACCCUGGUAGUCCCAUGAU